RNAcentral lists this ribosomal RNA (1385 nucleotides) under uncultured bacterium. RNAcentral describes it as "bacterial SSU rRNA". It matches the Rfam family "Bacterial small subunit ribosomal RNA", at positions 28 to 1381 of the family's 1533-position model. The record is from RNAcentral.
GACGAACGCUGGCGGCGUGCCUAAUACAUGCAAGUCGAGCGAGCGGAACUAACAGAUUUACUUCGGUAAUGACGUUAGGAAAGCGAGCGGCGGAUGGGUGAGUAACACGUGGGGAACCUGCCCCAUAGUCUGGGAUACCACUUGGAAACAGGUGCUAAUACCGGAUAAGAAAGCAGAUCACAUGAUCAGCUUUUAAAAGGCGGCGUAAGCUGUCGCUAUGGGAUGGCCCCGCGGUGCAUUAGCUAGUUGGUAAGGUAAAGGCUUACCAAGGCGAUGAUGCAUAGCCGAGUUGAGAGACUGAUCGGGCACAUUGGGACUGAGACACGGCCCAAACUCCUACGGGAGGCAGCAGUAGGGAAUCUUCCACAAUGGACGCAAGUCUGAUGGAGCAACGCCGCGUGAGUGAAGAAGGUUUUCGGAUCGUAAAGCUCUGUUGUUGGUGAAGAAGGAUAGAGGUAGUAACUGGCCUUUAUUUGACGGUAAUCAACCAGAAAGUCACGGCUAACUACGUGCCAGCAGCCGCGGUAAUACGUAGGUGGCAAGCGUUGUCCGGAUUUAUUGGGCGUAAAGCGAGCGCAGGCGGAAGAAUAAGUCUGAUGUGAAAGCCCUCGGCUUAACCGAGGAACUGCAUCGGAAACUGUUUUUCUUGAGUGCAGAAGAGGAGAGUGGAACUCCAUGUGUAGCGGUGGAAUGUGUAGAUAUAUGGAAGAACACCAGUGGCGAAGGCGGCUCUCUGGUCUGCAACUGACGCUGAGGCUCGAAAGCAUGGGUAGCGAACAGGAUUAGAUACCCUGGUAGUCCAUGCCGUAAACGAUGAGUGCUAAGUGCUGGGAGGUUUCCGCCUCUCAGUGCUGCAGCUAACGCAUUAAGCACUCCGCCUGGGGAGUACGACCGCAAGGUUGAAACUCAAAGGAAUUGACGGGGGCCCGCACAAGCGGUGGAGCAUGUGGUUUAAUUCGAAGCAACGCGAAGAACCUUACCAGGUCUUGACAUCUAGUGCCAUUUGUAGAGAUACAAAGUUCCCUUCGGGGACGCUAAGACAGGUGGUGCAUGGCUGUCGUCAGCUCGUGUCGUGAGAUGUUGGGUUAAGUCCCGCAACGAGCGCAACCCUUGUUAUUAGUUGCCAGCAUUAAGUUGGGCACUCUAAUGAGACUGCCGGUGACAAACCGGAGGAAGGUGGGGAUGACGUCAAGUCAUCAUGCCCCUUAUGACCUGGGCUACACACGUGCUACAAUGGGCAGUACAACGAGAAGCGAGCCUGCGAAGGCAAGCGAAUCUCUGAAAGCUGUUCUCAGUUCGGACUGCAGUCUGCAACUCGACUGCACGAAGCUGGAAUCGCUAGUAAUCGCGGAUCAGCACGCCGCGGUGAAUACGUUCCCGGGCCU